UGAAGGGUUUCUGUUUCUCCUCCAUCUGGUUUGAAAAAACAUGGGAGGACUGGUCCUGUGGAUGACGGCAUACCCUAUAACGAGAGUGGUGAUGCGAUAUGAUUGUAGGGGUCACCGUAAGUGAAGUACGAUUGUGACCGUAGUUAACAUAUAGGACCACUGUGGUUGGCAUAACCAUGGUUAAAGAUCAUUUCAUAGUUUGGCAAGCCACAAAUUGUUCUUAUAAAUAAAAUGAAUUAGUCAUUCCACACGGGUAGUUAGAAAUCCA
This 268-nucleotide long non-coding RNA is filed under the name Carica papaya (papaya). RNAcentral describes it as "long non-coding RNA (CPAP_LNC001490)". The record is from RNAcentral. Lineage: Eukaryota; Viridiplantae; Streptophyta; Magnoliopsida; Brassicales; Caricaceae.